RNAcentral lists this ribosomal RNA (269 nucleotides) under uncultured prokaryote. Its description in RNAcentral is "partial 16S ribosomal RNA". It matches the Rfam family "Bacterial small subunit ribosomal RNA", at positions 355 to 618 of the family's 1533-position model. The record is from RNAcentral.
UGGGGAAUCAUGGUCAAUGGGCGAAAGCCUGAACCUGCGACGCCGCGUGAGUGAUGAAGGUCGUAAGAUCGUAAAACUCUUUUCAGGGAUCUUAAAGCCUGUCUGUCAACAACAGGCGGGUCUGACUCUCCCUGGAAGAAGCCCCAGCCAACUACGUGCCAGCAGCUGCGGUAAUACGUAGGGGGCGAGCGUUAUUCGGAAUUACUGGGUGUAAAGGGUAUGUAGGCGGCCCUUCAAGUCGCGUGUCAAAGUCCAGUGCUCAACGUGGG